This 305-nucleotide ribosomal RNA is filed under the name uncultured bacterium. RNAcentral describes it as "bacterial SSU rRNA". It matches the Rfam family "Bacterial small subunit ribosomal RNA", at positions 337 to 660 of the family's 1533-position model. The record is from RNAcentral.
UCCUACGGGGGGCAGCAGUCGGGAAUAUUGCGCAAUGGAGGAAACUCUGACGCAGUGACGCCGCGUGCAGGAAGAAGGUUUUCGGAUUGUAAACUGCUUUAGACAGGGAAGAUAAUGACAGUACCUGUAGAAUAAGCUCCGGCUAACUACGUGCCAGCAGCCGCGGUAAUACGUAGGAUGCGAGCGUUAUCCGGAUUUAUUGGGUUUAAAGGGUGCGCAGGCGGACCAUCAAGUCAGCGGUAAAAUCGUGGGGCCCAACCCCAUCCCGCCGUUGAAACUGGCGGUCUUGAGUGAGCGAGAAGUAG